ACAACCGUCAAGCCUGGCUUGGUGUUGGGCGUCGGGCGUCGAGCCCGUGUCCCAAAGAGAGUGGCGGUGUCGAUUCAGUCCUCGGCGCAACGAGCUCCACGAGCACGCACCGGAGGGGCCAUCGGCGCCCGCCUAGACCCCCUAAUUUUCUCA
RNAcentral lists this unclassified non-coding RNA (153 nucleotides) under uncultured fungus. Its description in RNAcentral is "sequence contains ITS2". The record is from RNAcentral. Lineage: Eukaryota; Fungi.